RNAcentral lists this ribosomal RNA (460 nucleotides) under uncultured bacterium. Its description in RNAcentral is "partial 16S ribosomal RNA". It matches the Rfam family "Bacterial small subunit ribosomal RNA", at positions 29 to 523 of the family's 1533-position model. The record is from RNAcentral.
AACGAACGCUGGUGGUAUGCUUAACACAUGCAAGUCGAACGGGCAUAGCAAUAUGUCAGUGGCAAACGGGUGAGUAAUGUAUGGGAAUCUACCUAGCAGUAAGGAAUAACCCUGGGAAACCAGGGCUAAUGCCAUAUAUUACCGGUUAGCAAUAACCGGGAAAGAUUUAUCGCUGUUAGAUGAGCCUGUAUCAGAUUAGCUAGUUGGUGGGGUAAUAGCCUACCAAGGCAAUGAUCUGUAGCUGGUCUGAGAGGAUGAUCAGCCACACUGGAACUGCGACACGGUCCAGACUCCUACGGGAGGCAGCAGUGGGGAAUAUUGGACAAUGGGCGCAAGCCUGAUCCAGCAAUACCACGUGAGUGAUGAAGGCCUUCGGGUUGUAAAACUCUUUUAGUAGGGAAGAUAAUGACUGUACCUACAGAAAAAGCACCGGCUAACUUCGUGCCAGCAGCCGCCGUAA